CAAGACAUAAAAGGCCCUGGUUCCCAGCUGUAGUGUAUCUCAUUGCUCUGAGCAUCCAUGCUCGGCUCUGGAGCACGUCCUGCCUCUUCCCCUGAUAAAUCCUUCUCAGGCCUCUUUUACUGAGAUGUCAGGAAAUUCCUUUUCUUUUCUUUCUUUCUUUUUUUUUUUUUUUGGUACCAGGGAUCAAACUCUGGUCCUUAAGCUUUGGAGGCAGGUGGCGGAAUCACUGAGCUAAAUCCCCAGCCCCAGGCAAUUCUUUUUCUAGGACAGGAGCCUGUGAACCUGCAAACUUAUUUGAAAGGGCUUAAGUUCCUUAUUUCCACCUCAGAACCCUCAGACCCAGCCCGUGAGAGCGGCACAUUCCAGGCUCAGGUUCCAUGGCUUCCCCACAUCCGCCUCCUCCAAUCCCUACCGGCCUUUCCCACUUCCUGACGUCCUCCCAAAACCACUCUCCCUCUUUCCCGCCUCAGGCGACGCUCACCACCUUCAGGUGCUCAGACCCAGACUCCAGCCCUUCCUGGCUCCUCCUUUGUCUCCCACACCCAGUCCAGCAACAAAUGCACCUGGAUCCGCCCCUACUCAGCACCAGCCCCUCCAGACCGAGCCGCCCUCGUGUCACCCCGGGCCCCACCCUGUGGCCUGUUCUGUCUGUGGAAGGAGGCUCAGCCUGUGCAAAGCUGUAAGUUUUACACUCAGAAUGCUCCCAGGACUUCCUUCUCUCAUGGAGUAAAAGUCCAAGGCCUUACGCAAGGCCACAGUCCCCAUCCGACCUGGAAUCAAAACCCUGCCUUCUUAUGUUUGCUUCUGCCACACCUGGCCCUGACCCCAGCUCUUUUUUAAAAAUUUAUUUACUUGAGCCAAAAAUUGUAUUGAACUGGUCUCUUUGUAUAGUAACUAUAAAACACACAUACAGCUAUUAAAACCUAAGAUAAACCCCUUCACUAUUUAGAAACUUAAGCAUGUUUAUACGUUUGUUAAUAAAUUUUUCAUCUUUUUUUAUCCUUGCAGUAGAAAGGAAUUUGUCCUUGCAGGUCUGGAGGCUCACAGACCAUUUCUCUCUAAAACUGCCCCAGGCACUCGCGCUUGCUGUUCACUUCCCGGAGAUCCGGAGAUCCGGAGAUUGGCACUGCUCGGCUUCCUCCUUCCCUUCCAUCUCUGCUCACUUCCCAGAGAGGCUGCCCCAGGACUGCUGCACUCACAGCCCCCACCCUGCCUUCCGACACCCUUCGUGUUUUACUCACUUGCCGAGGCAAGCAGCAGCUGUGGGGGACACACGGCAUCAGAGUAUGGUGUUGUGUGUUCUGUCCCCUGGGAUCUCCAGGCCUGGCCAGGGCUGGCACACAGCAAGUACUUAAUUCCUGUGCAGUGAAUGAGCUAAUCAGAUGCAGUCUUCUCUAUCAAGCCCCAGUCUCAGUGGCCAGCCUCAGGACUGCUGUGUGUGUCUGUGUGAACCCAGAGGCUGAGCUGUAUCCCCAGCCGCUUAUUUAUGGAGAGACAAGGUCUCACUGAAUUGCCCAGAUGAGACUGGAACUUGCAAUCCUGCUGCUUCUGCCUCCCAGAGUGCUGGGAGCCACCAUACCCAGCGUACUUGUUCUCAUCUGCCAGGACCGGGGAUUUAGCUCAGUGGUUCCACCGCCUGCCUCAAAGGCGCAAGGUCCCGAGUUCAAUCCCCGGAACCAAAAAAAAUUUUAAUUAAUUUGUUCUUAUCUGCCGGGCCUUUGCCCUGAUCCUCCAAUCCACUAUUCAACCUUCACUGUUGCUCCAUCCUACAACCUGGGCAACCCACCUCCGGCCUGUGCUGCUGGCAGAGCCAAGCGCUCGCUCCUCCAGAUUCCCACCUGUCUUCCACUGUGACACAGUGGACAAACUGUGGCCACGGGGAGAAUGCAUUGCUCUGUGCUGAAGAAUCAGCUGUGCCCAGCCAUCUGCUGCAUGGAUUAUGUCGCUGAAUCACUCCAACAACCAAUAAAGUUGCUGUUGUUAUUAUCCAUGUUACAGUCAAGGAAACUGAGGCCCAAGCAGUGUCAGAGCGAAAAUGUGAACUUGGCUUUGUCGGACUCCAAAGUCUGUGUUUGUCAUUUUCAGAAUCAGGUCCCUUCACGAGAUUUGAGUUCGGAGACUCCAACCAGUGCUGAGGUGUCCCAGACCACCGAAGCAACAGGUCUCGCUUUUGAGAAAAAUGAACAUGUCCAGAUGAAGGCCACCAGGAAGUGAAAACUACCAAGAAGUCACCUUGAGAAUGGACCAGCUGGGCAGACCAACACAUACCAACCUCCAUGUCCACGCCCACAGGAAUGAUGCCAUUUAAUGACUGUGACAGCCUGGGAAAAUAAGCAGGGGUGCCACUGGCAGAUUACAACUUUUGAGAAACUCCGAGAAAUGGGUGGCAGACCAAAUUGGAAUGGCAGAUAAAAGCACAUGCCAAAACAGAAGCUAUGAAGCAAUGCUGCCCAGGGAAGGGGGCCCCAGGAGGAAGAGGGGCAGGUCCCGGGCCAGGGUCAGAGAGGUGGGCUGAAUACCAGCCUUCGGCACAAUGACCUUGGGCCUCUGGGACAGAAAGGCAGGACACAGAAGGAGGAGAGGGAGGCCCUGUGCUCAGAAAGCAAACUAUUACUCACAUUUCUUGCAACACAUUCUGGCCCUCUGCUAGCAAUCACUGACAACACGUGAGAUAAAAAAGAAACAGUGUCCACAGAGAAGAAAAUAGGCAAUCAUUGUACACAGAAGAGUACACAUCCACAGAUCAUCAAAGACUUCAGAGCGGCCAAUUUAAUAAAUACAACACACAAUAACCAAAGAAGCAGAAGUAACAAUGCAAGCAGACAUCUCAAAGGGGUACAUAUCAUCAGAGGGAUAAGAGAGGGCACUGCAUCCAGCAACAGGACGGCGUUAGGAGAAAGAAUUCCUUGGAACCACAAAUAAAAGACUCAAUCAUCAAAAUUUUUUGAAAAAUCAAGACACUGAAGGGAAGUCUAAAAACACAGACAAACAGGCAAUUAGUGAUCUGGGCAAUUAGGAAGAGGUGUUCCCUAACACCCAGGAAUAAGGACAUUGAGGCCUGGCAAAAAUAUAAAUGGCCCUUAAGCUCAUUCUUGGCAAAGUUUUAGAAAGAUAGGUUUUUCUCUCAAAUAUUUUUGGUAGAAGUAAAAAUUUUUUCUCAGACUAUUUACAGGGAAAAAAAGACACAUAAGCUAAACAAAUUCCUAUUAUUUAGGCCAAGGGUCAGCAAAUUAUAAUAAUAAGUCAGAUCUGGCAAGCUACAUAUUUUUGGAAAUAAACUUUUUUGGAACACAGCCACACUUACACAUUUAGACAUUAACUAUGGCUGAUUUCAUGCUUAAUGGCAGAAAUGAGCUCUGAGAAAGAGUGUAUAGCCUGUAAAGACUAAAAUAUUUGUAUCUGGUUCUUUAGUGAAAAAAACUGUUGAUUUGGGCCCCCCUGAUAUGGGCCAUUAUUAAUUGAUGAACUCAAUUUUUUUGUUGUUUGUUUUGCUUUGGUUUUUUUUUUGUACCAGGAUUGAACUUAGGACCUUGCACUUACGAGGCAGGCGUGGUGCCACUGAGCUAAAUCCCCAGCCCAAACUCACAUUUUCUUUGCAAUUUAACUUUUUUUAGCAAUUACUGAAGGUCUGUACCACAAUGAUAAAGAAUGAACUACUAAUACAUUUUAAAAAUGAAUGACUCUCUCAGAUAGAUUUAGUAGAGGAAAAAGACAGAAAAAUUGCACUUGUAUGAAGAAGUUCAAAUACAGGCAGAAUCUACCCUUUUGAGGAGUCUAGAUAGUGGUUCCUCUGGGAGAGGUACACAAUUGGGAAGGGACAUGCAGAAGUCCCCUGGGGCACAGGGAACGUCCUAUAUUCUGAUGGGGCAGAGCUAAUACAGGUGUAUUCAUACAAAAAACUCAUAAAACUAUGCAUUUAAGAUUGUCCACUUUAUUACACCUAAGUUAAACCUCAAUAAAUAAAAAGUUUAAAAAGA
Heterocephalus glaber (naked mole-rat) is the source of this 3977-nucleotide non-coding RNA. NCBI's taxonomy places the organism in Eukaryota, Metazoa, Chordata, Mammalia, Rodentia, Bathyergidae. The record is from RefSeq and is a predicted model, not a curated record.